AUUGAACGCUGGCGGCAGGCCUAACACAUGCAAGUCGAGCGAAGCGGCGGAAGAGUGAUUAAUGCCUAGGAAUCUGCCUGGUAGUAGGGGAUAACUUCCGGAAACGGGAGAUAAUACCGCAUACUAUCAGAUGAGCCUAGGUCGGAUUAGCUAGAUGGUUGGGUAAAGGCUUACCAAGGCGACGAUCAGGAACUGGUCUACUGGGAUGAUCAGUCACACUGAAACUGAGACACGGUCCAGAGUACUACGGGAGUCAGCAGUGGGGAAGAAUGGACAAGGGGCGAAAGCCUGAGCCAGCCAUGCCGCGUGGGUGAAGAAGGUCUUCGGAUUGUAAAGCACUUUAAGUUGGGAGGCGUUGCCAACAGAAUAAGCACCGGCUAACUUCGUGCCAGCGGCCGCGGUAAUUC
RNAcentral lists this ribosomal RNA (407 nucleotides) under uncultured bacterium. Its description in RNAcentral is "partial 16S ribosomal RNA". It matches the Rfam family "Bacterial small subunit ribosomal RNA", at positions 30 to 526 of the family's 1533-position model. The record is from RNAcentral.